AAAAAAAUCCCUGCAGAUUUCUGCAGGGUCCUUCUAUUUCCGUGUAAGGAUAGAAGGGAAAGGGAGAGGAGAAACCGGAGGAAGAACUUAUGGGGAAACGUAAGUCUUCUCCGCG
This 115-nucleotide non-coding RNA is filed under the name Bacillus massilioanorexius. RNAcentral describes it as "ylbH leader". It matches the Rfam family "ylbH leader". From Rfam's summary of the family: This family is a putative regulatory RNA structure that is found upstream of the ylbH gene in B. subtilis and related low GC Gram-positive bacteria. The record is from RNAcentral. Lineage: Bacteria; Bacillati; Bacillota; Bacilli; Caryophanales; Bacillaceae.